RNAcentral lists this ribosomal RNA (405 nucleotides) under uncultured bacterium. Its description in RNAcentral is "partial 16S ribosomal RNA". It matches the Rfam family "Bacterial small subunit ribosomal RNA", at positions 30 to 526 of the family's 1533-position model. The record is from RNAcentral.
AUUGAACGCUGGCGGCAGGCCUAACACAUGCAAGUCGAACGAGUGGCGGACGGGUGAGUAACGUUUGGGAACUCACCUUAUGGAGGGGGAUAACUACGGGAAACUGUAGCUAAUACCGCGUACCAUAGGAUGAGACCAGGUGGGAUUAGGUAGUUGGUGAGGUAAAGGCUCACCAAGUCGACGAUCUCUAGCUGGUCUGAGAGGAUGACCAGCCACACUGGGACUGAGACACGGCCCAGACUCCUACGGGAGGCAGCAGUGGGGAAUAUUCCGCAAUGGGGGCAACCUGACGGAGCCAUGCCGCGUGAAUGAAGAAGGCCUUCGGGUUGUAAAGUUCUUUCGGUAGCGAAGCGUUAACUACACAGAAAGCACCGGCUAACUCCGUGCCAGCAGCCGCGGUAAUAC